RNAcentral lists this unclassified non-coding RNA (333 nucleotides) under Hevea brasiliensis (rubber tree). Lineage: Eukaryota; Viridiplantae; Streptophyta; Magnoliopsida; Malpighiales; Euphorbiaceae. The record is from RNAcentral.
GAAUGAAGCUGGAUGUGUGACCUAUAAUUUUGCAGGUAUGCUCGUUUGCAGGAACUUCAAUAGUUGCUCGGGUCUGCAAUUUCGAGCCGAGCCGGGCAGACAGGUUACUGGGAAAGCUUUAGAAUCGGGUCGAGGUUGUAGGCUACCCCACCGUUUUUCGACGUACCAGAAGCGUCUCAAGGGUCAGAAUUGGUACAGGUAAACCCGAACCCUCAUUUUUCUUAAUUAUCCAGUGCCUGAUUUCGAUUAAAAAUCUAUAAAAUAUUUGUGGUAGGUUAGAAAAAUAUAAUUCCUUUUACGUUAGCUCUAUAAUAUUGCUAAGGACCGCGGGGC